GUUUGAUCAUGGCUCAGGAUGAACGCUAGCGGCAGGCCUAAUACAUGCAAGUCGAGGGGUAAGGCUCAUUUCGGUGAGUACACGACCGGCGCACGGGUGCGUAACGCGUAUGCAACCUACCUUUAACAGGGGGAUAGCCCCGAGAAAUCGGGAUUAACACCCCAUAAUACUAUAAAGUGGCAUCACUUAAUAGUUAAAACUCUGGUGGUUAAAGAUGGGCAUGCGUGACAUUAGCUGGUUGGUGAGGUAACGGCUCACCAAGGCUACGAUGUCUAGGGGUUCUGAGAGGAUGAUCCCCCACACUGGUACUGAGACACGGACCAGACUCCUACGGGAGGCAGCAGUAAGGAAUAUUGGUCAAUGGACGCAAGUCUGAACCAGCCAUGCCGCGUGCAGGAAGACAGCCUUAUGGGUUGUAAACUGCUUUUAUACAGGAAUAAACCAUCCUACUUGUAGGGUGCUGAAGGUACUGUAAGAAUAAGCACCGGCUAACUCCGUGCCAGCAGCCGCGGUAAUACGGAGGGUGCAAGCGUUAUCCGGAUUUAUUGGGUUUAAAGGGUGCGCAGGCGGACCUAUCAGUCAGUGGUGAAAUCCCGGGGCUCAACCUCGGAACUGCCAUUGAUACUGUAGGUCUUGAGUUUGGUUGAAGUGGGCGGAAUGUAGCAUGUAGCGGUGAAAUGCAUAGAUAUGCUACAGAACACCGAUCGCGAAGGCAGCUCACUAAACCAAAACUGACGCUCAGGCACGAAAGCGUGGGUAGCGAACAGGAUUAGAUACCCUGGUAGUCCACGCCGUAAACGAUGAUCACUCGUUGUUGGCGACACACAGUCAGCGACCAAGCGAAAGCGAUAAGUGAUCCACCUGGGGAGUACGUUCGCAAGAAUGAAACUCAAAGGAAUUGACGGG
This 906-nucleotide ribosomal RNA is filed under the name uncultured bacterium. Its description in RNAcentral is "bacterial SSU rRNA". It matches the Rfam family "Bacterial small subunit ribosomal RNA", at positions 11 to 917 of the family's 1533-position model. The record is from RNAcentral.